Molecule: ribosomal RNA, 259 nt
Filed under: uncultured bacterium
Lineage: Bacteria
Description: partial 16S ribosomal RNA
Rfam family: Bacterial small subunit ribosomal RNA
Source: RNAcentral
GUCCGCACUGUAAACGAUGAUUACUCGCUGCUGGGAGGUAACUUUCAGUGGCUUAGCGAAAGCGAUAAGUAAUCCACCUGGGGAGUACGCCGGCAACGGUGAAACUCAAAGGAAUUGACGGGGGCCCCGCACAAGCGGAGGAGCAUGUGGUUUAAUUCGAUGAUACGCGAGGAACCUUACCAGGGCUUGAAAGUUAGUGACCGAUUCUGAAAGGAGUCUUUCCGCAAGGACACGAAACUAGGUGCUGCAUGGCUGUCGU